RNAcentral lists this ribosomal RNA (639 nucleotides) under Triticum aestivum (bread wheat). Its description in RNAcentral is "partial small subunit ribosomal RNA". Lineage: Eukaryota; Viridiplantae; Streptophyta; Magnoliopsida; Poales; Poaceae. The record is from RNAcentral.
AUGGCAGUUGAAAAUUUCAUGAUGCAUGGACCAUGUGGCCAGGCAUGCUACAAGUCACCAUGCAUGAUCAAUGGGAAGUGCUCAAAACAUUUCCCUAAGAUGUUUUGUGCGGAAUCAAGCAUCGAUGAAGAAGGAUUCCCAAUAUACAGAAGAAGAAAUAAUGCCAGGACUAUAGAAAAAAGUGGAGUACAGCUAGAUAGCAGGUAUGUUGUUCCAUACAACAGGGACCUAAUUGUCAAGUACCAGGCCCAUAUAAACGUGGAAUGGUGUAACAAAUCAAGAUCCAUAAAGUAUUUGUUCAAGUACAUCCAUAAAGGAGAGGAUAGAGCAACUGUAAUUUUGGGUGCAGGAAAUAACUAUGACGAGAUACAAAUUUACCUUGAUGCACGAUACCUAUCGGCUGGUGUAGCAUCUUGGCGUAUCUUUGGAUUUGAACUUCAGCACCGGCAGCCUUCUAUACAGAGACUGCAAUUCCACCUUCAAGAUGAGCAAAUGGUCGUGUUCCCGGACUCAACUGAUAUUGAUAAAAUUGUACAUAGACCUGGCAUAGAGGAAACAAUUUUUACCGAAUGGAUGACCGCUAAUAAAUUGUAUGAGGAGGCCCGUAAUCUAACAUAUGCAGAAUUCCCCAUUAAGUAG